RNAcentral lists this ribosomal RNA (496 nucleotides) under uncultured bacterium. Its description in RNAcentral is "partial 16S ribosomal RNA". It matches the Rfam family "Bacterial small subunit ribosomal RNA", at positions 30 to 523 of the family's 1533-position model. The record is from RNAcentral.
AUUGAACGCUGGCGGAAUGCUUUACACAUGCAAGUCGAACGGUAGAGGGGGCAACCCCUCGAGAGUGGCGAACGGGUGAGUAAUAUAUCGGAACGUGCCCAGUCGUGGGGGAUAACGUAGCGAAAGUUACGCUAAUACCGCAUACGAUCUAAGGAUGAAAGCGGGGGAUCGCAAGACCUCGCGCGAUUGGAGCGGCGGAUAUCAGACUAGGUAGUUGGUGGGGUAAAGGCUCACCAAGCCAGCGAUCUGUAGCUGGUCUGAGAGGACGACCAGCCACACUGGAACUGAGACACGGUCCAGACUCCUACGGGAGGCAGCAGUGGGGAAUUUUGGACAAUGGACGCAAGUCUGAUCCAGCCAUUCCGCGUGCAGGAUGAAGGCCCUCGGGUUGUAAACUGCUUUUGUACGGAACGAAAAGGUCUCUCUUAAUACGGGGGACUCAUGACGGUACCGUAAGAGUAAGCACCGGCUAACUACGUGCCAGCAGCCGCCGUAA